GACGAACGCUGGCGGCGUGCUUAACACAUGCAAGUCGAACGAUGAAGCCUAGCUUGCUAGGUGGAUUAGUGGCGAACGGGUGAGUAAUACGUGAGUGACCUACCUUUGACUCUGGGAUAAGCCUGGGAAACUGGGCCUAAUACCGGAUACGACCAAUCUCCGCAUGGGGUGUUGGUGGAAAGCGUUAUGGAGUGGUUUUAGAUGGGCUCACGGCCUAUCAGCUUGUUGGUGAGGUAAUGGCUUACCAAGGCGACGACGGGUAGCCGGCCUGAGAGGGUGACCGGCCACACUGGGACUGAGACACGGCCCAGACUCCUACGGGAGGCAGCAGUGGGGAAUAUUGCACAAUGGGCGCAAGCCUGAUGCAGCGACGCCGCGUGAGGGAUGACGGCCUUUCGGGUUGUAAAACCUUCU
RNAcentral lists this ribosomal RNA (414 nucleotides) under Rothia dentocariosa. RNAcentral's name for it is "bacterial SSU rRNA". It matches the Rfam family "Bacterial small subunit ribosomal RNA", at positions 28 to 435 of the family's 1533-position model. Lineage: Bacteria; Bacillati; Actinomycetota; Actinomycetes; Micrococcales; Micrococcaceae. The record is from RNAcentral.